Molecule: ribosomal RNA, 255 nt
Filed under: uncultured bacterium
Lineage: Bacteria
Description: partial 16S ribosomal RNA
Rfam family: Bacterial small subunit ribosomal RNA
Source: RNAcentral
GACGAACCGUGCGAACGUUAUUCGGAAUCACUGGGCUUAAAGCGCGUGUAGGCGGGCCGGCACGUCGGUCGCUGAAAUCCCCCGGCUCAACCGGGGAAGCGGCGCCGAUACGACCGGCCUCGAGGGACGUAGGGGGGGGCUGGAACUUCCGGUGGAGCGGUGAAAUGCGUUGAGAUCGGAAGGAACGCCCGUGGCGAAAGCGAGGCCCUGGACCCUUACUGACGCUGAGACGCGAAAGCCAGGGAGCGAAGCGGG